Myotis lucifugus (little brown bat) is the source of this 1658-nucleotide long non-coding RNA. RefSeq lists it as uncharacterized. NCBI's taxonomy places the organism in Eukaryota, Metazoa, Chordata, Mammalia, Chiroptera, Vespertilionidae. The transcript is spliced from 3 exons. The record is from RefSeq and is a predicted model, not a curated record.
AAGCAGGUGGUGAGAAGGUGGAGACCGAGUACGCACAGCUGGAGAACGGGCGCUUCGUGUACCGCAUCCACCCGCUCGCCCAUGUGUGAGUACAUGAUCAACUUCAUCCACAAGCUGAAGCACCUGCCCGAGAAGUACAUGAUGAACAGCGUCCUGGAGAACUUCACCAUCCUGCAGGUGGUCACCAGCCGCGACUCCCAGGAGACCCUGCUCGUCAUUGCUUUUGUCUUCGAAGUCUCCACCAGCGAGCACGGGGCCCAGCACCACGUCUACAAGCUCGUCAAAGACUAGGGUGCCCUCUGCCCCACCACCAGGAUCCAGGACGAGCCUCUUCUCACACACCUGCCUGGCACCCAGGGGUCCAGGAUUGAGGACUCAUCUGCCUGCCAGGCCUCGGGCCCAGGGCCAGGAGGCCUCCCCACCUGCUCCAGCACACACCCCCUGCCACUGUUCUGCGCUUUAACUGUGGGAGAAGGGAGGGGGCUCAGCGGUGGGGCAGCCUGGCUGGGUCGCCAAGCCACCAUCACUUCGGUCUGCCCAGCCUCACUGAAUGGGAGGACACCUUUGGCUCAGGUGUGUGUGGCCACUGGCCCCUCAGGGCUGUGACAGGUGGGUGAUGGAGACUGGAGGGGCGGCGGAGUGCAGAGGCCAGGAAGGAGUGUGGAGCUGGGGUUGCUCUGAGAAGAGAGAGGCCCACACUGUCUUUGCACCUGCCAUGUGCCAGGCCCCAGUGCCUCCUGCCAUCCUCUGACCGGCAAAGCAAUCAUGGGUCUCGGUGUCACAGAUGAGGAGUCUAGGGGGAGGGAUCGGGGCAGAGUUGGAGUUCUCACCGGGGCUGCCUGUCCGGAGCCUCGUUUACACACCUCCCUGCCUCGGACCGGCCCCAGGCUGGGGAGGGGCUCUACACUGAGGGGCGGGGUUGGAGCCCCUGACACGGGGAGCAGCUGCCUCUGACCAGCAGGGAAGGGGAGCAGCAGGUACUCAGCACCUGUUGGGCGCCCUCUGUCAGCCCAGCAUCCAGCCAGGGCCCCGGGAGGGAGCCUCCUGCGCCACUUCCCCUACGCUGCCCUGGCCCAGAUCCUUUGCCAGGCUCCCCAGCAGCCGCCUGACGGGGAAGGCCCCCAGGGGCAGGCCCAGGCUCAGAAGCAGGCUGGAGGGUCAGGUAGGAAGAUGCCAGCCCCUGGGCAGAUCUGUGGCCCGGGCACGAGAGGCCACACAGGCUUCGGUAUUUUCUCUUGCCCAAGUGAACCCUCAGCGGUGCCACUACCUUGCUCUUCCCGGUGCCAGUCUCCCUGCCUGGAGCAGCUCCCCAGACCUCGUUCUGGGACUGAAGGUGAACCCUGCCCACUGCCUCUUCCCACCAUCCGGCCCCUCAGCGCCCGGCCUCCGGGCAUCGAUGAGUUUCAUAUGAAGUACUGUGCCCUGCCCUGCCCUGCCCUGCCCCCCACCCCUGAGCUUCCUGAAGGUCCUCACAGUUUGCAUAUCGCUCAGGCCACCUCCAAACCCAACCUAGGUUUUAUAAUGUAUAUUAUAUAUAUUUUUGUGUAUUUUUUAAAUCCAGCUGUGAUGGGUUAUAUCAUAAACGUGGCACAGGGCUGGGGCAGGCGCCCUCAAGGCCUACUCAGAAAGAGAAAUUAAAGUUAUUUGUUUGUGGGUUA